This is a long non-coding RNA of Camelina sativa (false flax), 901 nucleotides long. RefSeq lists it as uncharacterized. The record is from RefSeq and is a predicted model, not a curated record. NCBI's taxonomy places the organism in Eukaryota, Viridiplantae, Streptophyta, Magnoliopsida, Brassicales, Brassicaceae.
AGAAUGAUUAUAAAGGAUGAGCUACCAUUCAGGUUUGUGGAGAAAGUAGGUUUUCGUGAAUACAUGAGCAUUGUUCAACCUCGGUUUGCUAUUCCUUCUCGUAGAUCAAUAACUAGGGACUGCAUGAGUUUAUUUCUUGAAGAAAAGAGCAAGCUGAAGAAGUUCUUUAAGAGUUACAGGGGAUAUGUUUCUCUCACUACGGAUACAUGGACGUCGGUGCAAAACUUUAGCUACAUGUGUUUAACAGCACACUUCAUUGAUGAUGGCUGGAAUCUACAUAAGAAAAUCAUCAACUUUUGAUCUUGAUUCAAGCUCUACUACAAAUACUAACCAAGUGCCAAGAGGAACCAGUAAUUUAGAAGAAGUGGAUGUGGUUGGAAGUUUUGAUCUUGGUACAUUGAUGGAUAUGCAUGAAGAAACAGAAGCAAAUUUGGUUUUUAAAACAUAAUUGGAGUGUUAUCUAGCUGAUGAUUGUGUUCCUAGGUCUGAUCCGGAUUUUAAUAUAUUGUUGUGGUGGAAGAAAGCAAGUUCAAAGUUUAAGAUUCUCUCCUUAAUGGCAAAGGAUCUUUUAGCAAUACCAGUUUCAACUGUUGCUUCUGAAUCGGCAUUUAGCACAGGUGGUCGCAUACUUGAUCCUUUCCGAAGUUCUCUCACACCAAUGAUAGUUGAAGCACUCAUUUGCACUCAAGAUUGGAUUCGGUAUGAUUAUCCACAAGUUUCUUCGGAGGAAGAACCAAUGGAAGAGCUUGAGACUCUAGAAGAUGAGUAUAGCGCUUUCCCCCAAGGAGUUAGUCUUUCUUUGGAAGAUGAGUGGGUUUAACUUCAUUAAACACGGAUGAAGAAGGUAAGGAAAGAGAAUCAAAGUUGUUAGGAAAUUACACGGCAUCUUACAGAAGAACGG